UGAACUCAUGCACUGGAUUUGGUCCAAGUACAUUUUGUUUCUUGAUUUCCAGCCAGGCUUCUCUCAGUUGUGAUGCAUUCUCUUCUUUGCUUCCCUCCUUCCCCAGUCCUGUUCUCUCUUUUUAUAAUGCUUUCAACUUUUCCAUGUGACUGAACCAACACAGAGGAAAACCCACCAGCUUAGGUAGGGCUUCCACAAGAGUGGGGCCAGAGGGACUUCUUUGUGAACGGCCAGCCCCUCACGCAGCCCCGGCCUGCACGGCGAGGUUUGUCUGAGGCAGCUGAAGCAGAAAGCAUUUGAACUCUGCCCUCUACCAAAUGAUUUCCAGAUGUGUAAACCCCAGCCUCCCGCUGCACUCUGACUGUAGCCCUGCCAACGUACAUCUGCAGAUUCCUAGUGCACAGGAAACUUGAAAGAGUAUCUUUACAACAUCUGCUGUCUUUUCCCAGCUCUCCCUCUCUGCCUUCUCGGACUUUGCCCCGUAUUUUAUAUCCUCUCUUCAACAAAUCCAUUAGAGAACUGCUGCACAGCCCUUCUUGGCUCACAGAUGCCAGCUGUCUGUUUCACCCCAGAGCCUGUUCUUGGCUCUCUCAAGCACCACUAGAAUCAUUGACCGAAGCACCACUAGAAUCAUUAAAGAAGCUUAUUGGGCUCAUGGAGGGGAAAAAAAGGACCAAGUUUUCUCCAUUGGAUUGGUGCCAGUCUACAAGCUGCAAAGGGAGAUUUAGCCAUAAGGAGGUCAGAGCAGAGCCCUAAAGAUGGAAACACGAGUUUGCAUGGAGAGUUUGCCUGCUAUACCUGAGAGAAGGUGAGGUCUGCUUAUAGGGGGAACUUUUUUCCAUGGACAUUCAGUUUCUUGGAACAAACAAGGCAGGCUUCUGUAAAAUGGGAAGUAUUGAUGUACAGAAUGAGUUCCUUGCCUUCCCCUUCCCUAGGGCAUGCUACCCAUCAAGCUAAGAGGCCAGAAGAAGAUCUUUUUAUAAUGUAACUCAAAGGAGGGGAGAAAAGAGCCAGAGACCCUUUUAGCAUAAUGGAGCAGAUGAUUUUUACUAAGGCGUGCACUCUCACCAGGGAAAUGGCUUGAUUGCUGUGUAAAUAGAUGCUUGACCUUCAUCCUGCCAUUCAUCCAUAUGGACCCUAAACGCUCUCCAGCUCUAUCCUAGGGGACAUGGAAUGGAGGUUUUCCAAAGACAUUGGAACACCCCUGUAGCCAUAGUAGCUCUUUUUUAAAGAGGAGAGGAAUCUGUAGAUUCUUUCACAUGAGGGUGGGUGAGUAAAAGUUAAGCAAACAAUUCCCUUGUGCAUGAUUAUUUAGCUUAUGGUGAACCUAUGGUUAACUGUGGAGCUCUGAUACUCUGGCAACCUCCUAAGGGUAGAAUGCAAACUCCAUUUCUAGGCAGCAUUGCUGAUGAUAAAAAUGACCCCGAUUGGUAGAUUGCAUCUGGACUGGGAGGAACCAUAAACAAAUCAUAAUAUCUGCCAGGGACGCGAUGCUUUGUGCUUCCCUGAAAGUGGUUACGUUUUUAAGGUGCAUCUUGGGGCAAUAAAAGCAAUGUCUAGGGAGUUGUCUCAGGAGAUAUUGGCUCCUUUGAAGAGUGAGCUUUUUAAUCAGGUUAGCCCUCACAUCUGCCCAAUGUGGAACUCAUCCCUCAUACCUGAACUGCCUCUGGGUGGAAGAAAAUGCUGGAUGGCUGUGAGUUGAGAGGAUUUGAAAUGGAACACAAAGUGUAUUUGAUACUCCUAAGCCCAGGGUCAGACAGAUUCUAAGCUAGUCCUGGGUGAUGAUCUCUACCUCCUAGUAUUGUAUAAUCCUUCCCCUCGAGUAACUUGCUUCUAACAGAUAGAAUAUGCAAUAUUGAAGGUGUUACUUCUGUUACUAGGUUACAAAAAUUGUGAUUUCUGUCUUGUUAGCAAAUUCUUUCUCUUAUUGGCUUUGAUGAAGUAAGUUGAUAUGUUAGAGAGGCCUACAUGGCAAAGAACUGAGGACACCGUAUCGUUCACAGUUAGCAAGCAACCAGAGUCUUCAUUCCAGAGCCUUUGAGGAACAAAAUCCUGCCAAAAACCACAUAAGUGAGUUUGGAAGCAAAUCUUCCUUUAGUCAAACCUUCAGAUGAGAUCUCAGCCCUAUCUGACACCUUGGUUGCAGUCUUGUGAGAGUCUAAAAGUAGAAGUCUAGCUAAGCUCUCCCUGCAUUCUUGACUCUCAGGAACUGUGAGAUAAAAUAUAUAUAUAUAUUAUAUAUAUUAUUUUAAGGUGAUAAAUUUUAGGGUAGUUUGUUACUAGGAUGACCAACAGUGUUGGUUUGCCUAAGACUAACUCAAGACUGUCCCAGUUCUGGCACUGAUAAUCCUGAGUUCCAGUAAAUCCCUCAGCCUUGGACAAACUGGAACAAUUGUUACUCUAUUUGUGAUAGACAAUUAGUACAUAUAUGCAUAUGUUAUUUCUCACUUAAGCAAGUGUAUCUUCAAGAUAGACUCCUAGAAGUGGGUUUUUGGGGUCUAAACAGUAAAGUCACCUAGAAUUUUAUGUUUCUAAAUUCCCCUUCAUAAGGUUUGUACCAUUUUGUACUCCCAUCUGCAAGAUGAAAAUGCUUGUUUCUCCAUGGUCUGCUGUUUUCAUUACCAGUUUAUUUGAUAAUUAAAGCAAUUUAAUCUUUUAUUAUCUAAGUGUAAGCUGAUUCAUAGUCUCUUAGAAUAAAGAAAUACAUUUAAACAUUAAUUAACACUUGUAGAAUUGAACUGCAUGAUUUAUACUUUAUUUCGA
Molecule: long non-coding RNA, 2763 nt
Filed under: Homo sapiens (human)
Lineage: Eukaryota; Metazoa; Chordata; Mammalia; Primates; Hominidae
Description: HSALNT0088916
Source: RNAcentral